GACGAACGCUGGCGGCGUGCUUAACACAUGCAAGUCGAACGGAAAGGCCCUGCUUUUGUGGGGUGCUCGAGUGGCGAACGGGUGAGUAACACGUGAGUAACCUGCCCUUGACUUUGUGAUAACUUCAGGAAACUGGGGCUAAUACCGGAUAGGAGCUCCUGCUGCAUGGUGGGGGUUGGAAAGUUUCGGCGGUUGGGGAUGGACUCGCGGCUUAUCAGCUUGUUGGUGGGGUAGUGGCUUACCAAGGCUUUGACGGGUAGCCGGCCUGAGAGGGUGACCGGCCACAUUGGGACUGAGAUACGGCGCAGACUCCUACGGGAGGCAGCAGUGGGGAAUAUUGCACAAUAGGCGGAAGCCUGAUGCAGCAACGCCGGGUGCGGGAUGACGGCCUUCGGGUUGUAAACCACUUUCGCCGGAGACGAAGCGGGAGUGACGGUAAUGGGUAAAGAAGCACCGGCUAACUACGUG
This 468-nucleotide ribosomal RNA is filed under the name uncultured bacterium. Its description in RNAcentral is "partial 16S ribosomal RNA". It matches the Rfam family "Bacterial small subunit ribosomal RNA", at positions 28 to 507 of the family's 1533-position model. The record is from RNAcentral.